GGGUUGUCAUGCCAAUGGCACUGCCCGGUAGCUAAAUGCGGAAGAGAUAAGUGCUGAAAGCAUCUAAGCACGAAACUUGCCCCGAGAUGAGUUCUCCCUGAGACUAUAAGUCUCCUGAAGGAACGUUGAAGACGACGACGUUGAUAGGCCGGGUGUGUAAGCGCAGCGAUGCGUUGAGCUAACCGGUACUAAUGAACCGUGAGGCUGAACCUUACAACGCCGAAG
Molecule: ribosomal RNA, 225 nt
Filed under: Klebsiella pneumoniae
Lineage: Bacteria; Pseudomonadati; Pseudomonadota; Gammaproteobacteria; Enterobacterales; Enterobacteriaceae
Description: partial 23S ribosomal RNA
Rfam family: Bacterial large subunit ribosomal RNA
Source: RNAcentral